UACAGAGAGUGCGAACGUUGUUCGGAAUUACUGGGCUUAAAGCGCACGUAGGCGGCAUCGUAAGUGUCUGGUGAAAUCCCACGGCUCACCCGUGGAACUGCCAGGCAUACUGUGAUGCUCGAGUGUGGUAGGGGAGAGCGGAACUCCUGGUGGAGCGGUGAAAUGCGUAGAUAUCAGGAGGAACACCGGUGGCGAAGGCGGUUCUCUGGGCAUGAUCUGACGCUGAGGAGCGAAAGUGUGGGGAGCGAACAGG
This 253-nucleotide ribosomal RNA is filed under the name uncultured bacterium. RNAcentral describes it as "partial 16S ribosomal RNA". It matches the Rfam family "Bacterial small subunit ribosomal RNA", at positions 524 to 776 of the family's 1533-position model. The record is from RNAcentral.